RNAcentral lists this ribosomal RNA (774 nucleotides) under uncultured bacterium. RNAcentral describes it as "bacterial SSU rRNA". It matches the Rfam family "Bacterial small subunit ribosomal RNA", at positions 628 to 1397 of the family's 1533-position model. The record is from RNAcentral.
CGAUACGGGUUGACUUGAGGAAGGUAGGGGAGAAUGGAAUUCCUGGUGGAGCGGUGGAAUGCGCAGAUAUCAGGAGGAACACCAGUGGCGAAGGCGGUUCUCUGGGCCUUUCCUGACGCUGAGGAGCGAAAGCGUGGGGAGCGAACAGGCUUAGAUACCCUGGUAGUCCACGCUGUAAACGGUGGGUACUAGGUGUGGGGUCCAUUCCACGGGUUCCGCGCCGUAGCUAACGCUUUAAGUACCCCGCCUGGGGAGUACGGCCGCAAGGCUAAAACUCAAAGGAAUUGACGGGGCCCCGCACAAGCGGCGGAGCAUGCGGAUUAAUUCGAUGCAACGCGUAGAACCUUACCUGGGUUUGACAUGGAUCGGGAGUGCUCAGAGAUGGGUGUGCCUCUUUUGGGGUCGGUUCACAGGUGGUGCAUGGCUGUCGUCAGCUCGUGUCGUGAGAUGUUGGGUUAAGUCCCGCAACGAGCGCAACCCUUGUUCACUGUUGCCAGCACGUUAUGGUGGGGACUCAGUGGAGACCGCCGGGGUCAACUCGGAGGAAGGUGGGGAUGACGUCAAGUCAUCAUGCCCCUUAUGUCCAGGGCUUCACGCAUGCUACAAUGGCUGGUACAGAGAGUGGCGAGCCUGUGAGGGUGAGCGAAUCUCGGAAAGCCGGUCUCAGUUCGGAUUGGGGUCUGCAACUCGACCUCAUGAAGUCGGAGUCGCUAGUAAUCGCAGAUCAGCAACGCUGCGGUGAAUACGUUCCCGGGGCUUGUACACACCGCCCGU